CUACGGGGUGCUGCAGUGAGGAAUAUUGCACAAUGGGGGGAACCCUGACGCAGCAACGCCGCGUGAGUGAUGAAGGCUUUCGGGUCGUAAAGCUCUGUCAAGUGGGAAGAACCUAUGCAGUGUUAAUAUCACUGUAUACUGACGGUACCACUGAAGGAAGCACCGGCUAACUCCGUGCCAGCAGCCGCGGUAAUACGGGGGGUGCAAGCGUUAUUCGGAAUCAUUGGGCGUAAAGGGCACGUAGGCGGCUUGGUAAGUCAGAUGUGAAAGCCCGGGGCUUAACCCCGGAAGUGCAUUUGAUACUGUCAGGCUUGAGUAUGGGAGAGGGAAGUGGAAUUCCUGGUGUAGAGGUGAAAUUCGUAGAUAUCAGGAGGAACACCGGUGGCGAAGGCGACUUCCUGGACCAAUACUGACGCUGAGGUGCGAAGGCGUGGGUAGCAAACAGGAUUAGAUACCCCAGUAGUC
RNAcentral lists this ribosomal RNA (465 nucleotides) under uncultured bacterium. Its description in RNAcentral is "partial 16S ribosomal RNA". It matches the Rfam family "Bacterial small subunit ribosomal RNA", at positions 339 to 795 of the family's 1533-position model. The record is from RNAcentral.